RNAcentral lists this ribosomal RNA (490 nucleotides) under uncultured bacterium. Its description in RNAcentral is "partial 16S ribosomal RNA". It matches the Rfam family "Bacterial small subunit ribosomal RNA", at positions 30 to 507 of the family's 1533-position model. The record is from RNAcentral.
AUUGAACGCUGGCGGCAGGCCUAACACAUGCAAGUCGAACGGUAACAGGAAGCAGCUUGCUGCUUCGCUGACGAGUGGCGGACGGGUGGGUAAUGUCUGGGAAACUGCCUGAUGGAGGGGGAUAACUACUGGAAACGGUAGCUAAUACCGCAUAACGUCGCAAGACCAAAGAGGGGGACCUUAGGGCCUCUUGCCAUCGGAUGUGCCCAGAUGGGAUUAGCUAGUAGGUGGGGUAACGGCUCACCUAGGCGACGAUCCCUAGCUGGUCUGAGAGGAUGACCAGCCACACUGGAACUGAGACACGGUCCAGACUCCUACGGGAGGCAGCAGUGGGGAAUAUUGCACAAUGGGCGCAAGCCUGAUGCAGCCAUGCCGCGUGUAUGAAGAAGGCCUUCGGGUUGUAAAGUACUUUCAGCGGGGAGGAAGGGAGUAAAGUUAAUACCUUUGCUCAUUGACGUUACCCGCAGAAGAAGCACCGGCUAACUCCGUG